UUAAAAAGAAAUAACUUCAUAUAAAGCUUCUAACUUUAUCACAAUGAUUAAAAAUCAUUUUAUUUCUU
RNAcentral lists this transfer RNA (68 nucleotides) under Vespa mandarinia (Asian giant hornet). RNAcentral describes it as "tRNA-Ser". Lineage: Eukaryota; Metazoa; Arthropoda; Insecta; Hymenoptera; Vespidae. The record is from RNAcentral.